GGCAGGUCGGCAGGCAGCACCAGGCAAGGGGACAGCUGUCCUUGGUGUGCCAUGCUGCUCCUCACCUGCCAACAAAAAUCAUCUUCUUUUGGAGCAUAUGCCAAGGGGAUAAUCCAGGCUGAAGCUGCUUGCUCCAACAGCUAAGAAGCCCAUGACUGUGGGAGAAAACCCUACCAAACUGCCACUCAUUUGUCAGCCUGAAGUUUUGUCUCCAUCCAUCAUUUUUGGCAGCACUUUCUCCCUGGCGCAUGGUUGCGGCACCCAGCUGUGCAUCCUGCCCCAUUGCAAGGACAGCUGAGCUGAGGGUGAAUCAGCAACACAAACACCACAGUUACAGAGAGGUGGAUUAAGACAAAUCCUCUCUGAAUUUGCCUUUUCUGCGCUGACAGCAGGAGUCAACCCCCGAGCCUCCCAGGCACCCAUGCAGCAGGAGCGACUGACAGCUGAGGACAGACGCUCAUCAGAUGCCUCUGGCCAAGCCUUCCUCUCUCGUUGCUUAGUCAUUAGCAUCGGUUAACAGAGCUGUAAUUAACUUCUUUUUGCAGUGUUGUAUGAGGCCUGGCAACACAUUGUUCAGAUUUUAACAUGAGCCACAGAGCAUGCUUGUAACGCAACUGUAUAUCGAGGGCAGCCUGAGCACCCAGCCCGAUAACCGCCCUGCUCAGCUCUGGUCUCAGCAAGGAAAAGAAAGAAGCCCUUAACAGCUUUCCACCAGUGACUAAACAAAAACAAAAACAAAAACAAAAACAACCUAUGCAUAUCCAUAUUAAACCUAUACCUUCGGUAAGAAAAUUGGGAGCUGAAGGUCAUUUUGUUAUGUUUUUUUUAAAGACUAGUUAAGGAUUUUGCACACAUGCGCACACAAGCACACGUAUUUGUUUUAAUUAUUAAUCCAGACAAACUAAAGAUUAUGUCGUCGCAUUAAAGGCUAAUGUGAUGAAAAGAUCAAGGCAUUUAAUGAAGUGCAAAAUUCAUCCUACUUAUGAAAAGAAAUGUUGCUCUCUCCAGGGAAAACUCUGUACAGAAAAUGUGGCUUUUUAAUGAAAGUUAUUUGUGUCUGUUUAAUAUUCUGGACCAUGAGAAAA
This is a long non-coding RNA of Anas platyrhynchos (mallard), 1085 nucleotides long. RefSeq lists it as uncharacterized. The record is from RefSeq and is a predicted model, not a curated record. NCBI's taxonomy places the organism in Eukaryota, Metazoa, Chordata, Aves, Anseriformes, Anatidae.